RNAcentral lists this ribosomal RNA (380 nucleotides) under Arizona elegans. Its description in RNAcentral is "partial 16S ribosomal RNA". It matches the Rfam family "Bacterial large subunit ribosomal RNA", at positions 1969 to 2608 of the family's 2925-position model. The record is from RNAcentral. Lineage: Eukaryota; Metazoa; Chordata; Lepidosauria; Squamata; Colubridae.
UUGUCUACUAAUUAUAGACCUGUAUGAAAGGCAAAAUGAGGGUCUAACUGUCUCUUAUAAUAAAUCAAUUAAACUGAUCUACUAGUAAAAAAGCUAGAAUAACAACAUAAGACCAGAAGACCCUGUGAAGCUUAAAUUAAACUAUUAAAUCACAUAAUAACUACUUUCGGUUGGGGCGACCUUGGAAAAAAAAAGAACUUCCAAGACCCAGCAUAGCUGAUAAUUGAACCAAGUUACUCCAGGGAUAACAGCGCAAUCUUCUUCAAGAGUCCAUAUCAAAAGGAAGGUUUACGACCUCGAUGUUGGAUCAGGACAUCCUAAUGGUGCAGCCGCUAUNAAGGGUUCGUUUGUUCAACGAUUAAUAGUCCUACGUGAUCUGA